GGAAACGUAUCGAAGAGGUCGCACCGAGCCGCACUCGAAAUGCGGUUGUCGAGAAAUCGGCACGUGGGUUCGAAUCCCACCGUUUCCGCCA
This 91-nucleotide transfer RNA is filed under the name Clostridia bacterium. RNAcentral's name for it is "tRNA-Ser". It matches the Rfam family "tRNA". From Rfam's summary of the family: Transfer RNA (tRNA) molecules are approximately 80 nucleotides in length. Their secondary structure includes four short double-helical elements and three loops (D, anti-codon, and T loops). Lineage: Bacteria; Bacillati; Bacillota; Clostridia. The record is from RNAcentral.